GUGGGGAAUCUUGCGCAAUGGGCGAAAGCCUGACGCAGCCAUGCCGCGUGAAUGAUGAAGGUCUUAGGAUUGUAAAAUUCUUUCACCGGGGACGAUAAUGACGGUACCCGGAGAAGAAGCCCCGGCUAACUUCGUGCCAGCAGCCGCGGUAAUACGAAGGGGGCUAGCGUUGCUCGGAAUUACUGGGCGUAAAGGGCGCGUAGGCGGACAGUUUAGUCAGAGGUGAAAGCCCAGGGCUCAACCUUGGAAUUGCCUUUGAUACUGACUGUCUUGAGUUUGGGAGAGGUGAGUGGAACUCCGAGUGUAGAGGUGAAAUUCGUAGAUAUUCGGAAGAACACCAGUGGCGAAGGCGACUCACUGGCCCAAUACUGACGCUGAGGCGCGAAAGCGUGGGGAGCAAACAGGAUUAGAUACCCCAGUAGUCC
RNAcentral lists this ribosomal RNA (425 nucleotides) under uncultured bacterium. RNAcentral's name for it is "bacterial SSU rRNA". It matches the Rfam family "Bacterial small subunit ribosomal RNA", at positions 354 to 796 of the family's 1533-position model. The record is from RNAcentral.